GAUGAACGCUGGCGGCGUGCUUAACACAUGCAAGUCGAACGAAGAUGCCGGAGUGCUUGCACUUUGGCAGACUGAGUGGCGGACGGGUGAGUAACGCGUGGGUAACCUGCCUUAUACAGGGGGAUAACAGUUGGAAACGACUGCUAAUACCGCAUAAGCGCACGGUAUCGCAUGAUACAGUGUGAAAAACUCCGGUGGUAUAAGAUGGACCCGCGUCUGAUUAGCUUGUUGGUGAGGUAACGGCCCACCAAGGCGACGAUCAGUAGCCGGCCUGAGAGGGUGAACGGCCACAUUGGGACUGAGACACGGGCCCAAAACUUCCCUAACGGGGAGGCAAG
This 338-nucleotide ribosomal RNA is filed under the name uncultured bacterium. RNAcentral describes it as "bacterial SSU rRNA". It matches the Rfam family "Bacterial small subunit ribosomal RNA", at positions 28 to 351 of the family's 1533-position model. The record is from RNAcentral.